GUAGUUGACCACUCUGCGGAGCGACUGGAUGCGCGCGUUGUGGGCCUCCCAGUCGGAGCAGUUACGGAAGUCACCCCGCUCCACCAGGAGAGCAAACAAGCCCCACUAUGCCUGGGCAAAACCCCCCUGGCCACAGCCUGUCCACCAGAAGUGAGCCACCAUGACGUCAAUCCCCCUGGGAGGCCUUCGUGCUGGGGGUCUGCCUGCUUGGCAGGAGAGGUCCAAUUCAAGGGUCCAUUUUGCUGGGAAACCAGGAGGUGGAGAGAUAUCUUCCUUGAUGAUUCCUUUUUCAAAGAGGUGGCUCCCAACUCCUGGAGGAAACGUUCCUGAGUUUUCAGCCUGGCAAGCAGCUUGUUUAGCCAUUAAAAGAUGUGCAUACAUGUAAUAAGA
Callorhinus ursinus (northern fur seal) is the source of this 390-nucleotide long non-coding RNA. RefSeq lists it as uncharacterized. Lineage: Eukaryota; Metazoa; Chordata; Mammalia; Carnivora; Otariidae. The record is from RefSeq and is a predicted model, not a curated record.